GGGGAAUUAGCUCAGUUGGUAGAGCGCCUGCUUUGCAAGUAGGAUGUCAACGGUUCGAGUCCGUUAUUCUCCA
The sequence is a transfer RNA, 73 nucleotides long. It matches the Rfam family "tRNA". Rfam says of the family: Transfer RNA (tRNA) molecules are approximately 80 nucleotides in length. Their secondary structure includes four short double-helical elements and three loops (D, anti-codon, and T loops). The record is from Rfam.